AGCUGCCUGGGAGGAGGGAGAGAGAGACUCCAUGAUUUGGAAGAGAAGCCACGUGCAAGAUAGGAAACCUGGAUGGCCCUAGAGGAUACUGCCCUAAGCCCAAGAACCCUCCAGCAUGAUUGCAUUGUGUCUCAGAGGCAGCACACCCGCCUGCAGUGCAGGUAGCUUACACAGUCCUGUGGAGCAAGAAAGCCCUUCCUGAUGCAAUAUACAUAAUAAAAAGGAUUGUUUUUAAUGGUGCACAGCCAGUGAACCCCACUGUUGAAAUAAGGGAAGAGGCUCAGCUGGUGUAGAUCAGCAUAGGUCGACUGAUGCCAGUGGAGCCAUGUGGAAAAAAAGAGCCAUC
Molecule: long non-coding RNA, 346 nt
Organism: Chelonia mydas (Green sea turtle)
Lineage: Eukaryota; Metazoa; Chordata; Testudines; Cheloniidae
Exons: 3
Source: RefSeq, a predicted model, not a curated record